AACGAACGCUGGCGGCAUGCCUAACACAUGCAAGUCGAACGAGAUCUUCGGGUCUAGUGGCGCACGGGUGCGUAACGCGUGGGAAUCUGCCCUUUGGUUCGGAAUAACAGUUGGAAACGACUGCUAAUACCGGAUGAUGACGAAAGUCCAAAGAUUUAUCGCCAGAGGAUGAGCCCGCGUAGGAUUAGCUAGUUGGUGUGGUAAAGGCGCACCAAGGCGACGAUCCUUAGCUGGUCUGAGAGGAUGAUCAGCCACACUGGGACUGAGACACGGCCCAGACUCCUACGGGAGGCAGCAGUGGGGAAUAUUGGACAAUGGGCGAAAGCCUGAUCCAGCAAUGCCGCGUGAGUGAUGAAGGCCUUAGGGUUGUAAAGCGCUUUCACCCGGGAUGAUAAUGACAGUACCGGGAGAAUAAGCUCCGGCUAACUCCGUGCCAGCAGCCGCCGUAA
Molecule: ribosomal RNA, 449 nt
Filed under: uncultured bacterium
Lineage: Bacteria
Description: partial 16S ribosomal RNA
Rfam family: Bacterial small subunit ribosomal RNA
Source: RNAcentral